AGUCGUAACAAGGUUUCCGUAGGUGAACCUGCGGAAGGAUCAUUAGCAAAUCGAAAUCAUGUGCGCCGCCGCAGGCGGUGCACAUCUGUCCCGGGGAGAAGGUCUGUUCGACUCUCUCUCUGUGAUUCCGGGGAGAGGGUCUGACUUUCUCCCUGUGUCAAGUGCUCCACGGAAAUGUAAAUAAUCCACCAAAAUCAAACUAAAAAACAACUUUUAACAAUGGAUCUCUGGGCUCCU
Molecule: unclassified non-coding RNA, 237 nt
Filed under: fungal sp.
Lineage: Eukaryota; Fungi
Description: partial internal transcribed spacer region
Rfam family: Eukaryotic small subunit ribosomal RNA (bases 1-45)
Source: RNAcentral